UUCCUGUUUCAUUGAAUCUGCAAUGGUGGUUUCUGGGUUUUGGUAUUUCUGUUAAUGAGAUUUGAGGGAGGUUACGGUGUUUGACAGAAAGUUGGGGUUUUGGGUUUUGCUAGACGGUCCAAUCUGGGUUGAGUGUGUGGUUGUUUUUGUUUUGGUAUUUUUGUGGGUAAUUGUUCUUGACAUCUUUGGCUAUAUCUGAUGUGAGAGUAGGUUAGAUCUGUAUUUGUGCUAACUGAUGUGGGUUUUAGGGUUUGGGAUGGCCAACGUCAUAGAGAUUUCGAGCAGUGAGGAUUCUGGGUCUGACGUGUCGUUCAGCGU
RNAcentral lists this long non-coding RNA (318 nucleotides) under Rosa chinensis. RNAcentral's name for it is "sRNA RchiOBHm_Chr1g0327131". The record is from RNAcentral. Lineage: Eukaryota; Viridiplantae; Streptophyta; Magnoliopsida; Rosales; Rosaceae.